UACGUAGGGUGCGAGCGUUAAUCGGAAUUACUGGGCGUAAAGCGUGCGCAGGCGGCGCGUUAAGACAGGUGUGAAAGCCCCGAGCUUAACUUGGGAAUUGCGCUUGUGACUGGCGUGCUGGAGUGUGGCAGAGGGAGGUGGAAUUCCACGUGUAGCAGUGAAAUGCGUAGAGAUGUGGGAGGAACACCGAUGGCGAAGGCAGCCUCCUGGGCCAGCACUGACGCUCAUGCACGAAAGCGUGGGGAGCAAACAGG
Molecule: ribosomal RNA, 254 nt
Filed under: uncultured bacterium
Lineage: Bacteria
Description: partial 16S ribosomal RNA
Rfam family: Bacterial small subunit ribosomal RNA
Source: RNAcentral